This 74-nucleotide transfer RNA is filed under the name Niveomyces insectorum RCEF 264. RNAcentral's name for it is "Sporothrix insectorum RCEF 264 tRNA". It matches the Rfam family "tRNA". From Rfam's summary of the family: Transfer RNA (tRNA) molecules are approximately 80 nucleotides in length. Their secondary structure includes four short double-helical elements and three loops (D, anti-codon, and T loops). Further hydrogen bonds mediate the characteristic L-shaped molecular structure. tRNAs have two regions of fundamental functional importance: the anti-codon, which is responsible for specific mRNA codon recognition, and the 3' end, to which the tRNAs corresponding amino acid is attached (by aminoacyl-tRNA synthetases). tRNAs cope with the degeneracy of the genetic code in two manners: having more than one tRNA (with a specific anti-codon) for a particular amino acid; and 'wobble' base-pairing, i.e. permitting non-standard base-pairing at the 3rd anti-codon position. The record is from Rfam by way of RNAcentral. Lineage: Eukaryota; Fungi; Ascomycota; Sordariomycetes; Hypocreales; Cordycipitaceae.
GGGAUCGUGGCGCAGUUGGCUAGCGCGCAGGUCUCAUAAUCCUGAGGUCAUGGGUUCGAAACCCAUCGAUCCCA